UAGUAACGGCGAGUGAAGCGGGAUGAGCUCAAAUUUGAAAUCUGGCUGGUUUACUAGUCCGAGUUGUAAUUUAAAGAAGCGUUUUCGGUGGCAGCCUGGGUAUAAAUCCUUUGGAAUAGGGUAUCAUAGAGGGUGAGAAUCCCGUCUUUGACCUAGUGCAUGCUACUAUGUGAUACGUUUUCAAAGAGUCGAGUUGUUUGGGAAUGCAGCUCAAAAUGGGUGGUAAAUUUCAUCUAAAGCUAAAUAUUGGCGAGAGACCGAUAGCGAACAAGUACCGUGAGGGAAAGAUGAAAAGAACUUUGAAAAGAGAGUUAAACAGUGCGUGAAAUUGUUGAAAGGGAAACGCUUGACACCAGUCAUGUGGGUGGAAAAUCAGUCUUUUGCAUUGGGGAGUUGUAAGGGUUCGGACCGCAWGGCCGGCUUUUGCUUCAUCUUUGGUGUAAGUGAUGCACUUUUUCAUCUACAGGUCAACAUCAGUUUCUUUUACUGGACAAAACUCCGAGAGAAGGUAGCAGCUUAGGCUGUGUUAUAGCUCUGGAGCGAUACAGUGAAGGGGACUGAGGUUUUCGCAGCGUGUGCUCUCGGGCAAGGCUGGAUGGGUGCUAUGGAAUCGUUCGGGGUACAAUGCCUGGCAUUUUGCUUCGUGUCUUUUCUAUACUCGCUCAACUCARCUCUUCCACGCUUAGGAUGUUGACUUAAUGGUUUUAAUCGACCCGUCUUGAAACACGGACCAAGGAGUCUAACAUAUAUGCAAGUGUUUGGGUGGCAAACCCAUGCGCGUAAUGAAAGUGAACGUAGGUGCGAUCCGCAAGGUGCAGCAUCGACCGAUCUUGAUAUUUGUGGAUAGAUUUGAGUAAAGAGCAUAUAUGCUGGGACCCGAAAGAUGGUGAACUAUGCCUGAAUAGGGUGAAGCCAGAGGAAACUCUGGUGGAGGCUCGUAGCGAUUCUGACGUGCAAAUCGAUCGUCAAAUUUGGGUAUAGGGGCGAAAGACUAAUCGAA
Molecule: ribosomal RNA, 1000 nt
Filed under: Mortierellales sp.
Lineage: Eukaryota; Fungi; Mortierellomycota
Description: partial large subunit ribosomal RNA
Source: RNAcentral